This 1477-nucleotide ribosomal RNA is filed under the name Mycoplasma sp. CSL7491-lung. RNAcentral's name for it is "16S ribosomal RNA". It matches the Rfam family "Bacterial small subunit ribosomal RNA". Lineage: Bacteria; Bacillati; Mycoplasmatota; Mollicutes; Mycoplasmatales; Mycoplasmataceae. The record is from RNAcentral.
AACGCUGGCUGUGUGCCUAAUACAUGCAUGUCGAGCGGAGUUCUUCGGAACUUAGCGGCGAAUGGGUGAGUAACACGUACUUAACGUGCCCUCUAGAUUGGGAUAACGAUGAGAAAUUAUCGCUAAUACCGGAUACUUAUUAGUUUGGCAUCAAACUAAUAUAAAAGGAGCGUUUGCUUCACUAGAGGAUCGGGGUGCGGAACAUUAGUUUGUUGGUAAGGUAAUGGCUUACCAAGACGAUGAUGUUUAGCGGGGUUGAGAGACUGAUCCGCCACACUGGGACUGAGAUACGGCCCAGACUCCUACGGGAGGCAGCAGUAGGGAAUUUUCCACAAUGGACGAAAGUCUGAUGGAGCGACACAGCGUGCAGGAAGACGGCCUUCGGGUUGUAAACUGCUGUUAUAAGGGAAGAAAAAGCAGUAGAGGAAAUGCUAUUGCCUUGACGGUACCUUGUCAGAAAGCAACGGCUAACUAUGUGCCAGCAGCCGCGGUAAUACAUAGGUUGCAAGCGUUAUCCGGAAUUAUUGGGCGUAAAGCGUCUGUAGGUUGUGUGUUAAGUCUGGCGUUAAAACUUGGGGCUCAACCCCAAAUUGCGUUGGAUACUGGCACGCUAGAAUUGUGUAGAGGUUAGCGGAAUUCCUAGUGAAGCGGUGAAAUGCGUAGAUAUUAGGAAGAACACCAACAUGGCGAAGGCAGCUAACUGGGCACAUAUUGACACUGAGAGACGAAAGCGUGGGGAGCAAACAGGAUUAGAUACCCUGGUAGUCCACGCUGUAAACGAUGAUGAUUAGCUGAUAGAGAACUAUCGGCGCAGCUAACGCAUUAAAUCAUCCGCCUGAGUAGUAUGCUCGCAAGAGUGAAACUUAAAGGAAUUGACGGGGACCCGCACAAGCGGUGGAGCAUGUGGUUUAAUUUGAAGAUACGCGUAGAACCUUACCCACUCUUGACAUCUUCCGCAAUGCUAUAGAGAUAUAGCGGAGGCUAACGGAAUGACAGAUGGUGCAUGGUUGUCGUCAGCUCGUGUCGUGAGAUGUUCGGUUAAGUCCUGCAACGAGCGCAACCCUUAUCCUUAGUUAAAUGUUCUAGGGAGACUGCCCGAGUAAUUGGGAGGAAGGUGGGGACGACGUCAAAUCAUCAUGCCUCUUACGAGUGGGGCAACACACGUGCUACAAUGGAUAGUACAAAGAGAAGCAAUACGGUGACGUGGAGCAAAUCUCAAAAAACUAUUCUCAGUUCGGAUUGUAGUCUGCAACUCGACUACAUGAAGUCGGAAUCGCUAGUAAUCGUAGAUCAGCUACGCUACGGUGAAUACGUUCUCGGGUCUUGUACACACCGCCCGUCACACCAUGGGAGCUGGUAAUGCCCGAAGUCGGUUUUGUUAACUACGGAGACAACUGCCUAAGGCAGGGCCGGUGACUGGGGUGAAGUCGUAACAAGGUAUCCCUACGAGAACGUGGGGAUGGAUUACCUCCUUUCU